This 64-nucleotide microRNA precursor is filed under the name Myotis brandtii (Brandt's bat). Its description in RNAcentral is "mir-9242 microRNA precursor family". It matches the Rfam family "mir-9242 microRNA precursor family". Lineage: Eukaryota; Metazoa; Chordata; Mammalia; Chiroptera; Vespertilionidae. The record is from Rfam by way of RNAcentral.
GGCCUCCCUCUGCGGGGCAAUUGAUUGUGGGGCUCCAUGAUUGAUAGCUCUGCGGAGGGAGGCC